RNAcentral lists this ribosomal RNA (259 nucleotides) under Diederichomyces ficuzzae. Its description in RNAcentral is "5.8S ribosomal RNA". The stretch from base 87 to 240 matches the Rfam family "5.8S ribosomal RNA". From Rfam's summary of the family: 5.8S ribosomal RNA (5.8S rRNA) is a component of the large subunit of the eukaryotic ribosome. Lineage: Eukaryota; Fungi; Ascomycota; Dothideomycetes; Pleosporales; Phaeosphaeriaceae. The record is from RNAcentral.
GUUUCCUCGGCAGGCUUGCUUGUCGGUUGGACAAUUCUAUAACCUUUUCAAUUUUCAAUCAGCGUCUGAAAAAUCAUAAUAAUUACAACUUUCAACAACGGAUCUCUUGGUUCUGGCAUCGAUGAAGAACGCAGCGAAAUGCGAUAAGUAGUGUGAAUUGCAGAAUUCAGUGAAUCAUCGAAUCUUUGAACGCACAUUGCGCCCCUUGGUAUUCCAUGGGGCAUGCCUGUUCGAGCGUCAUUUGUACCCUCAAGCUUUG